GUUGAAACACCAGAUCCCGUACGAUUACCGAAAUUAAGCAACGUUGAGCCUGGUCAGUAGCUAGAUGGGUUACCAAUUUGGAAUAACUGGCGCUGUAAG
This is a non-coding RNA of Acanthosepion pharaonis, 99 nucleotides long. The record is from the annotation of a GenBank genome assembly. NCBI's taxonomy places the organism in Eukaryota, Metazoa, Mollusca, Cephalopoda, Sepiida, Sepiidae.